AGUGUUUGGAGCUAGCUCCCGAGAGAGUGAAGUCAUGCUUGUGCCUCUGGGGCUGUCUCCUUAG
RNAcentral lists this microRNA precursor (64 nucleotides) under Mus caroli (Ryukyu mouse). Its description in RNAcentral is "microRNA 6938 (MGP_CAROLIEiJ_G0007222.1)". Lineage: Eukaryota; Metazoa; Chordata; Mammalia; Rodentia; Muridae. The record is from RNAcentral.